Molecule: ribosomal RNA, 1323 nt
Filed under: metagenome
Description: bacterial LSU rRNA
Rfam family: Bacterial large subunit ribosomal RNA
Source: RNAcentral
AGUGGAUGGGGAGCAACCUAGUUGUGCGUGUGUAAAGGUAGUGCCAAGAAAAGCGAUGAUCAUGUUGAAAAUCAAUUCCCGGUACCCGAAACCGACACAGGUGGGCAAGUAGAGAAUACUAAGGGGCGCGAGGUAACUCUCUCCAAGGAACUCGGCAAAAUGACCCCGUAACUUAGGGAGAAGGGGUGCCACCGAGAGGUGGUCGCAGUGAAGAGGCCCAGGCGACUGUUUAGCAAAAACAUAGGUCUCUGCAAACUCGAAAGAGGAGGUAUAGGGGCUGACGCCUGCCCAGUGCCGGAAGGUUAAAGAAGUUGGUCAGUUUUAGGAUGAAGCUAGCGACUGAAGCCCCGGUGAACGGCGGCCGUAACUAUAACGGUCCUAAGGUAGCGAAAUUCCUUGUCGGGUAAGUUCCGACCCGCACGAAAGGCGUAACGAUCUGGGCGCUGUCUCGGAGAGAGGCUCGGCGAAAUAGGAUUGUCUGUGAAGAUACGGACUACCUGCAUUUGGACAGAAAGACCCUAUGAAGCUUUACUAUAGCUUGGAAUUGUGUUCGGGCUUCCUGUGCGCAGGAUAGGUGGGAGGCGUAGAAGGUAUUCUUGUGGGGAUACUGGAGCCAACGGUGAGAUACCACUCUCAGGAGGCUAGAAUUCUAACUUAAUUAAGGACAGUUUCAGGUGGGUAGUUUGACUGGGGCGGUCGCCUCCAAAAAGGUAACGGAGGCGUACAAAGGUUCCCUCAGACUGGUUGGAAAUCAGUCGAAGAGUGCAAAGGCAGAAGGGAGCUUGACUGCGAGAAGUACAGUUCGAGCAGGGUGGAAACACGGUCUUAGUGAUCCGACGGUGCUGUGUGGAAGGGCCGUCGCUCAACGGAUAAAAGUUACUCUAGGAUAACAGGCUGAUCUCCCCCAAGAGUUCACAUCGACGGGGAGGUUUGGCACCUCGAUGUCGGCUCAUCGCAACCUGGGGCGGAAGUACGUCCCAAGGGUUGGGCUGUUCGCCCAUUAAAGCGGUACGUGAGCUGGGUUCAGAACGUCGUGAGACAGUUUUGUCCAUAUCCGAUGUAGGCGUGAGAAUAUUGAGAGGAGCCUUCCUUAGUACGAGAGGACCGGGAAGGACGCACCGCUGGUGUACCUGUUAUGAUGCCAAUUGUAAACGCAGGGUAGCCAAGUGCGGAGAGGAUAACCGCUGAAAGCAUCUAAGUGGGAAGCCCACCUCAAGAUGAGUAUUCUGGUGUAAGGUCACGGGAAGACGACCCGUAAAUAGGCACGAGGUGGAAGUGCAGAGAUGUAUGAAGCCGAAGUGUACUAAUAGACCGUCGGCUUGA